Molecule: ribosomal RNA, 449 nt
Filed under: uncultured bacterium
Lineage: Bacteria
Description: partial 16S ribosomal RNA
Rfam family: Bacterial small subunit ribosomal RNA
Source: RNAcentral
AACGAACGCUGGCGGCAUGCCUAACACAUGCAAGUCGAACGAGAUCUUCGGGUCUAGUGGCGCACGGGUGCGUAACGCGUGGGAAUCUGCCCUUUGGUUCGGAAUAACAGUUGGAAACGACUGCUAAUACCGGAUGAUGACGAAAGUCCAAAGAUUUAUCGCCAGAGGAUGAGCCCGCGUAGGAUUAGCUAGUUGGUGUGGUAAAGGCGCACCAAGGCGACGAUCCUUAGCUGGUCUGAGAGGAUGAUCAGCCACACUGGGACUGAGACACGGCCCAGACUCCUACGGGGGGCAGCAGUGGUGAAUAUUGGACAAUGGGCGAAAGCUUGAUCCAGCAAUGCCGCGUGUGUGAUGAAGGCCUUAGGGUUGUAAAGCUCUUUUACCCGGGAUGAUAAUGACAGUACCGGGAGAAUAAGCUCCGGCUAACUCCGUGCCAGCCGCCGCCGUAA